The sequence is a transfer RNA, 84 nucleotides long. It matches the Rfam family "tRNA". Rfam says of the family: Transfer RNA (tRNA) molecules are approximately 80 nucleotides in length. Their secondary structure includes four short double-helical elements and three loops (D, anti-codon, and T loops). Further hydrogen bonds mediate the characteristic L-shaped molecular structure. tRNAs have two regions of fundamental functional importance: the anti-codon, which is responsible for specific mRNA codon recognition, and the 3' end, to which the tRNAs corresponding amino acid is attached (by aminoacyl-tRNA synthetases). tRNAs cope with the degeneracy of the genetic code in two manners: having more than one tRNA (with a specific anti-codon) for a particular amino acid; and 'wobble' base-pairing, i.e. permitting non-standard base-pairing at the 3rd anti-codon position.
GGCCUAAUGGUCUAGAAGUAUGAUACUCGCUUUGGGUUGUGAACUGAUUGCGAGUGGUCCUGGGUUCAAUUCCCAGUUAGGCCC